UACGUAGGGUGCGAGCGUUGUCCGGAAUUAUUGGGCGUAAAGGGCUCGUAGGCGGUCUGUCGCGUCGGGAGUGAAAACUCAGGGCUUAACCCUGAGCCUGCUUCCGAUACGGGCAGACUAGAGGUAUGCAGGGGAGAACGGAAUUCCUGGUGUAGCGGUGGAAUGCGCAGAUAUCUGGAGGAACACCGGUGGCGAAGGCGGCAUCCUGGACCAACACUGACGCUGAGUGAGCGAAAGCCAGGGGAGCAAACGGG
RNAcentral lists this ribosomal RNA (254 nucleotides) under uncultured bacterium. RNAcentral describes it as "partial 16S ribosomal RNA". It matches the Rfam family "Bacterial small subunit ribosomal RNA", at positions 524 to 776 of the family's 1533-position model. The record is from RNAcentral.